CCAGACUCCUACGGGAGGCAGCAGUAGGGAAUCUUCGGCAAUGGACGGAAGUCUGACCGAGCAACGCCGCGUGAGUGAAGAAGGUUUUCGGAUCGUAAAGCUCUGUUGUAAGAGAAGAACGAGUGUGAGAGUGGAAAGUUCACACUGUGACGGUAUCUUACCAGAAAGGGACGGCUAACUACGUGCCAGCAGCCGCGGUAAUACGUAGGUCCCGAGCGUUGUCCGGAUUUAUUGGGCGUAAAGCGAGCGCAGGCGGUUAGAUAAGUCUGAAGUUAAAGGCUGUGGCUUAACCAUAGUACGCUUUGGAAACUGUUUAACUUGAGUGCAAGAGGGGAGAGUGGAAUUCCAUGUGUAGCGGUGAAAUGCGUAGAUAUAUGGAGGAACACCGGUGGCGAAAGCGGCUCUCUGGCUUGUAACUGACGCUGAGGCUCGAAAGCGUGGGGAGCAAACAGGAUUAGAUACCCUGGUAGUCCACACCGUAAACGAUGAGUGCUAGGUGUUAGACCCUUUCCGGGGUUUAGUGCCGCAGCUAACGCAUUAAGCACUCCGCCUGGGGAGUACGACCGCAAGGUUGAAACUCAAAGGAAUUGACGGGGCCCGCACAAGAA
This 608-nucleotide ribosomal RNA is filed under the name uncultured bacterium. Its description in RNAcentral is "bacterial SSU rRNA". It matches the Rfam family "Bacterial small subunit ribosomal RNA", at positions 331 to 931 of the family's 1533-position model. The record is from RNAcentral.